This 141-nucleotide ribosomal RNA is filed under the name Stramenopiles sp. Its description in RNAcentral is "partial small subunit ribosomal RNA". It matches the Rfam family "Eukaryotic small subunit ribosomal RNA", at positions 1296 to 1460 of the family's 1831-position model. The record is from RNAcentral.
AGUUGGUGGAGUGAUUUGUCUGGUUAAUUCCGUUAACGAACGAGACCUCAGCCUACUAAAUAGGUUUGAUUAUUUUAAUAGUUAAAGCUUCUUAGAGGGACUAUCGAUGUUUAAUCGAUGGAAGUUUGAGGCAAUAACAGG